Molecule: unclassified non-coding RNA, 345 nt
Filed under: Hevea brasiliensis (rubber tree)
Lineage: Eukaryota; Viridiplantae; Streptophyta; Magnoliopsida; Malpighiales; Euphorbiaceae
Source: RNAcentral
GAAAAGUUGGCUGAGUAGCGUCGGAGCAAAAGUGGCUAAGAGUUGAUCAUGCGUUAGUAUGGCUACGCGUGGAGAAUACGUUGGAUGCUCUGAGGCGUUGAGUUAUCAUGCCAUGAAGUGAGGGUGUCUUAUGCGUUUGUAAAGGCUGUUAUGCGUUGAUGAUGGGUAUGCGUUGGUAUAUUAGAAGAGUGACCGAGAGAGAGACGUGCGUUAGUCGGCUAUUUGUCGAUGGGGCGUUGGGCAUUUAUAUCACACCCAGUCGAGACUAUGCGUUGCUAAGCCCUGCACUGAAGGUAUUCAUUGAAUAACUAAGUACAGAGAGAAGAGAUAAAGUGUAAGUCGGUG